CUAGUUGGUGAGGUAAUGGCUCACCAAGGCUUUGAUCGGUAGCUGGUCUGAGAGGAUGAUCAGCCACACUGGAACUGAGACACGGUCCAGACUCCUACGGGAGGCAGCAGUGGGGAAUCUUGCACAAUGGGCGAAAGCCUGAUGCAGCGACGCCGCGUGGGGGAUGAAGCAUUUCGGUGUGUAAACCCCUUUCGACUGGGAAGAAUACCUCGCAAGAGGGGUGACGGUACCAGUAGAAGAAGCCCCGGCUAACUACGUGCCAGCAGCCGCGGUAAGACGUAGGGGGCCAGCGUUGUUCGGAAUUACUGGGUGUAAAGGGUUCGUAGGCGGUGCGGCAAGUUGGGAGUGAAAUCUCUGGGCUCAACCCAGAGGCUGCUUCCAAAACUGCUGUGCUCGAGUGUGAGAGAGGCUCGUGGAAUUGCAGGUGUAGCGGUGAAAUGCGUAGAUAUCUGCAGGAACACCCGUGGCGAAAGCGGCGAGCUGGAUCACUACUGACGCUGAGGAACGAAAGCUAGGGGAGCAAACAGGAUUAGAUACCCUGGUAGUCCUAGCCCUAAACGAUCAGGACUUGGGGUGCCGCCCGUUCGGGCGUCGUCCCGGAGCUAACGCGUUAAGUCCUGCACCUGGGGAGUACGGUCGCAAGACUGAAACUCAAAGGAAUUGACG
This 666-nucleotide ribosomal RNA is filed under the name uncultured Acidobacteriota bacterium. RNAcentral describes it as "SSU rRNA". It matches the Rfam family "Bacterial small subunit ribosomal RNA", at positions 245 to 915 of the family's 1533-position model. Lineage: Bacteria; Pseudomonadati; Acidobacteriota. The record is from RNAcentral.